RNAcentral lists this ribosomal RNA (497 nucleotides) under uncultured bacterium. RNAcentral describes it as "partial 16S ribosomal RNA". It matches the Rfam family "Bacterial small subunit ribosomal RNA", at positions 28 to 523 of the family's 1533-position model. The record is from RNAcentral.
GAUGAACGCUGGCGGCGUGCUUAACACAUGCAAGUCGAACGAAGCACCUUAUUCUGAUUUCUUCGGAAUGAAAAAUUUGGUGACUGAGUGGCGGACGGGUGAGUAACGCGUGGGUAACCUGCCUCAUACAGGGGGAUAACAGUUAGAAAUGACUGCUAAUACCGCAUAAGACCACAGCACCGCAUGGUGCAGGGGUAAAAACUCCGGUGGUAUGAGAUGGACCCGCGUCUGAUUAGGUAGUUGGUGGGGUAACGGCCUACCAAGCCGACGAUCAGUAGCCGACCUGAGAGGGUGACCGGCCACAUUGGGACUGAGACACGGCCCAAACUCCUACGGGAGGCAGCAGUGGGGAAUAUUGCACAAUGGGGGAAACCCUGAUGCAGCGACGCCGCGUGAGCGAUGAAGUAUUUCGGUAUGUAAAGCUCUAUCAGCAGGGAAGAAAAUGACGGUACCUGACUAAGAAGCACCGGCUAAAUACGUGCCAGCCGCCGCCGUAA